Molecule: ribosomal RNA, 116 nt
Filed under: Pteropus alecto (black flying fox)
Lineage: Eukaryota; Metazoa; Chordata; Mammalia; Chiroptera; Pteropodidae
Source: RNAcentral
GUCUACAGCCAUGCCACCCUGAACAAACCCCAUGUCUGAUUUUGCACGCUAAGCAGGGUCAGGCCUGGUUAGUACUUGGAUGGGAGAACACCUAAAAAGACAAGGUGCUAUAGACA